UGGGGAAUAUUGCACAAUGGGCGGAAGCCUGAUGCAGCAACGCCGCGUGAGGGAUGACGGCCUUCGGGUUGUAAACCUCUUUUAGCAAGGAAGAAGCGAAAGUGACGGUACUUGCAGAAAAAGCGCCGGCUAACUACGUGCUAGCAGCCGCGGUAAUACGUAGGGCGCAGGCGUUAUCCGGAAUUAUUGGGCGUAAAGAGCUCGUAGGCGGUUUGUCGCGUCUGCUGUGAAAACCCGAGGCUCAACCUCGGGCCUGCAGUGGGUACGGGCAGACUAGAGUGCGGUAGGGGAGAUUGGAAUUCCUGGUGUAGCGGUGGAAUGCGCAGAUAUCAGGAGGAACACCGAUGGCGAAGGCAGAUCUCUGGGCCGUAACUGACGCUGAGGAGCGAAAGGGUGGGGAGCAAACAGGCUUAGAUACCCUGGUAGUCCACCCCGUAAACGUUGGGAACUAGUUGUGGGGUCCAUUCCACGGAUUCCGUGACGCAGCUAACGCAUUAAGUUCCCCGCCU
Molecule: ribosomal RNA, 509 nt
Filed under: uncultured Actinomycetes bacterium
Lineage: Bacteria; Bacillati; Actinomycetota; Actinomycetes
Description: bacterial SSU rRNA
Rfam family: Bacterial small subunit ribosomal RNA
Source: RNAcentral